Long non-coding RNA from Xenopus tropicalis (tropical clawed frog), 703 nucleotides. RefSeq lists it as uncharacterized. The transcript is spliced from 3 exons. NCBI's taxonomy places the organism in Eukaryota, Metazoa, Chordata, Amphibia, Anura, Pipidae. The record is from RefSeq and is a predicted model, not a curated record.
AAGGGAAAUGUGACAGUAAUUUAACCCUUACAGUGUCAUUGGCAGUGUCUGAUACAGUGUAUGUCUUUGGACGAAACAUAAGGCAAAUGCGGCAGUAAUUAACCCUUGCAGUGUCUUUGGCAGAGUUCAAUACAGUGUAUGUAAUGGGACAAAAGAUAAGGGAAACACAGCAAUAAUUUAACCCUUACAGUGUGUUGAGACAAAUGAUAAGGGAAAUGUGACAGUAAUUUAACCCUUACAGUGUCAUUGGCAGUGUCUGAUACAGUGUAUGUCUUUGGACGAAACAUAAGGCAAAUGUUCAAAUAAUUUAACCCUUACAGUGUCUGUCUUUCGAGUAACCAUAAGGCAAAUGUAGUCAAAAGAUAAGGGAAACGCAGCAGUAAUUUAACCCUUACAGUGUCAUUGGCAGUGUCUGAUACAGUGUAUGUCUUUGGACGAAACAUAAGGCAAACCCAGCAGUAAUUUAACCCUUACAGGGUCAUUAGCAGUGUCUGAUACAGUGUAUGUAAUGGGACAAAAGAUAAGGGAAACACAGCAAUAAUUUAACCCUUACAGUGUGUUGAGACAAAUGAUAAGGGAAAUGUGACAGUAAUUUAACCCUUACAGUGUCAUUGGCAGUGUCUGAUACAGUGUAUGUCUUUGGACGAAACAUAAGGCAAAUGUUCAAAUAAUUUAACCCCUACAGUUACAUAGUUACAUAGUU